UCUGCAAUUCUUCAAGUCCUCAGUGAUGCCACCAUGAAGAGAAUUUGAUCCCAAGGAAAUCUUCUCCAGCGAUUGCAAACCGCAUAUUGACUCAAACGGAAGAACACCCUCGAGUUGUUGCUGGGGAAGAUUGAUUUCCUUAACGAGUCCAUUAGCAUAGCAAAUAAUUCCAGUGAAGUUGCAUACAGAAUUUUCUUGUGUCCAUGAGCUGAACACAUCAGUUUUUGAAUUCUUGAGGGCAGACUUCACGUUCAGAAGCAUUUGAAGCUCAUCUGAUUUGGUUG
RNAcentral lists this unclassified non-coding RNA (284 nucleotides) under Hevea brasiliensis (rubber tree). The record is from RNAcentral. Lineage: Eukaryota; Viridiplantae; Streptophyta; Magnoliopsida; Malpighiales; Euphorbiaceae.